AUUGCCAUAAAACGUAGAGGGGCCGCCGAAAGGGCCCGUUGUCCCAGGCGGGCGUCUUUUCACCCCUGUGUGAUUCAGAUACCGUUUCGCAACAUCGCAGCCCUAGGAAAAGCCGCAGCUGGUACCGCAUAUAUAGUAAGCACAGAAGACUCAUAGAACUGUAGAGUUGGAAAGGGAUCCUGAGGGUUAUCUAGUCCAACCCUCCUGCAGAUGCGGGAAUACAUGAAGAUGAUCAGCGGCUGAUAUUCGAAGUUAGGCAAAGACCUCCCGAGAUCGAUGGGUUUUAGCCUGAGAGCAUAGCUCUAUGGGGUAUAUGACUCGCUUUCUGGAUCAAAGCAGUGUUUGAAAUUCUGCCAUGGCUGACAAUUGCUGGCAAAUGUUAAGAUUUCAGGAAGCCAGUGGCUGGUAAAGGACAGAAAAUCCUGGCAUUCACAGGCAAAACUGAAAAGUACUAGCUGUGAAGUAUCUGCUCAGAGGGCAUACUUCCAAGUACACAUGGUUACGAUGCAACCCCCACCAUGGAAUUGAGGACUAGGAAGAGCUUUGAUGGGACAAACUGAAGGUUCCGACCUCAAGUCCUGCUUUCAGCCAUACGCAACCAGAUACCUCAGUGAAACCUACAAGCAAUAAUUGACUCCCAGCAUUGCUGCCCAACUGUCUCUGAACUCAGGGACCCCACAGAGGGGUGGAGAUGCUUUCUUCAGAAACUGGGGGAAAGCAGGCAAGAUGGGCACCUGCUGCUUUCAGGAUGAAAUCCACUCUAGAGCCAAAAAACAACAACAACAAAAACAACAGUCCAGCAAAGAAAAAAAAAAUCAUUGAACAUACCACAUCGGAACACUGACAACUGAGCCAGCAUAGGCACUUGGUAAGUCUUUCCAUCAGCUCCGUUAAACGUUCGCUUUUUUGUGUUUUCUGGCUGAAAACGUGAUUUCCAUAGUCCCUUAAAGUAUACUGCAUUUACCAGCACCAAUCUGGUCAGCUCACUAUCAAGAGAAUCCGGAGAUAUGAUGCUGU
Zootoca vivipara (common lizard) is the source of this 1017-nucleotide long non-coding RNA. RefSeq lists it as uncharacterized. NCBI's taxonomy places the organism in Eukaryota, Metazoa, Chordata, Lepidosauria, Squamata, Lacertidae. The record is from RefSeq and is a predicted model, not a curated record.